AACAAACUGUUGGCAUCAGUCCUCCACUGCCACUGCCCUGGGUCUGCAACACUCCCACCAUGAAAGUCUCAGAUAGUUUGUUCCUCAUGGCCCUUCUUUCAGCGGUUCGUGGCCAGCAACUCACCUCCUCAGAAUCGGUGGU
Long non-coding RNA from Gadus morhua (Atlantic cod), 142 nucleotides. RefSeq lists it as uncharacterized. The transcript has 2 exons. NCBI's taxonomy places the organism in Eukaryota, Metazoa, Chordata, Actinopteri, Gadiformes, Gadidae. The record is from RefSeq and is a predicted model, not a curated record.